CCCGCCACUGUGCCUUUUCCUCCUCUGUAGGCUGGUGCAAUCCAGUGGUGAGCUGAGAGUAACCCCAGCUUAGGAAACAGGGUUAUCCUGCGUGUGAAUGACUCUGUGCCGAGAGCAUGGGAACAUAC
This is a small nucleolar RNA of Suncus etruscus (white-toothed pygmy shrew), 128 nucleotides long. RefSeq annotates it as small nucleolar RNA SNORA65. NCBI's taxonomy places the organism in Eukaryota, Metazoa, Chordata, Mammalia, Eulipotyphla, Soricidae. The record is from RefSeq and is a predicted model, not a curated record. The transcript has a single exon.